This 441-nucleotide ribosomal RNA is filed under the name uncultured bacterium. RNAcentral's name for it is "partial 16S ribosomal RNA". It matches the Rfam family "Bacterial small subunit ribosomal RNA", at positions 338 to 795 of the family's 1533-position model. The record is from RNAcentral.
CCUACGGGGGACAGCAGUGGGGAAUAUUGCACAAUGGGGGGAACCCUGAUGCAGCGACGCCGCGUGGGUGAAGGAGUAUUUCGGUAUGUAAAGCCCUAUCAGCAGGGAAGAACAAUGACGGUACCUGACUAAGAAGCACCGGCUAAAUACGUGCCAGCAGCCGCGGUAAUACGUAGGGUGCAAGCGUUAUCCGGAUUGACUGGGUGUAAAGGGAGCGCAGGCGGCGCGUUAAGCCUGGUGUGAAAGUCCGCGGCCCAACCGCGGGACUGCAUUGGGAACUGGCGCGCUGGAGUGUCGGAGGGGUAGGUGGAAUUCCUAGUGUAGCGGUGAAAUGCGUAGAGAUUAGGAGGAACACCAGUGGCGAAGGCGGCCUACUGGACGGUGACUGACGCUGAGGCUCGAAAGCGUGGGGAGCAAACAGGAUUAGAUACCCUUGUAGUC